CCCUGCGUGGCUCUCGCAGCCGGCUCCGCUCCUGGCUCGGCUGCUCAUCGCGGGAGCGCUCUGACAGCACCUGCAGGACAGCGCGGGCACUCGGAGCCGGGAAGGGGAAUAAGAGGGGAGCAUAUUCACACACACCUGCCCACACUGGCACUGCACAGAGGCACAUAGAGGUUCCUGUAACCUCCCUUCAUCACAUUUCACCCGAGCAGCCCAGCACUGCCAGCUCUGACAGCUUGCUCCAACACACAGCAAAAAUGAAGGCACAAGUUCCCAUUAUGUAUCUGCUGUGGACCCUACUGUUGAUUCAGAAAGGCCAUGGGAACUGUCCCCACACGCUGUGUCCUCCCGUGGGGUUCUCGGGGUGCUCGGGCAGCAGCCAGGGGACCUCUGAGGUUUUCUUGGGUUACAGGUGAUCCCAUGCACAAGGGGAAAAAAAGGAAACUAUCACUUUUCAGAAGACUGUGCACAGGAUUUAUGAUAAAAAUCCAGACAAGUCUUGCAUGUUUUCUGCUCCAUUCUUUGCGUCAAGAACACACUGGUUAAUAGCCAAUUAUUUCAUACCCUAAGGAAGUUUUGGGAAAGAAGUUCCUGGGAAGAAUCAACUUGUUUUGGGAAAUGAGACUAAUAUUCUGUAAGUGAAAUAUUUCCCUUUGCUCUCCUUCACCAUACUGUCCCAUCUCAGCACAAGGCUGAAUUUAUUGCUGUAAUAACUGUGAUUCAGAUAAAAGCAUAAUCGUUUCCCUGAGGUUUUUUUUUUUUUUUUUCUUCUUCUUCAGUUUAGCCAGGACACCAUAGCAAAAAUUUCAGUUAGGUAAUUAAAUUCUACUUAUUGAAAAUUCCUCUUUUAAAAUCUAUCCCAAACUACUGGUUGCUUUUCCUUUAAGCACUUUUAAGGGGUGAAUGCACUUUAAAUUCACAGCUCUCCAGAUUCUGAAGCCUGCUGAAUUUUUCCUUGACUGCCUAAACCAUAAUGUGCAGUUCCACCUGAGAUAUGUAAAGAUUUUACACCCUCUUUCACAAAUGAUACUGCAAUGACUCCAGGAUGAAAAUCAGAAGCUAUUCCAGAGCCAGCUAGAAGGUGACAGCAUUCAGGAACAAAAGGACUCUGCAGCCACCCCUACCCAGAACAGAAGGAACAGGGACCACUGAACACAGAAUUCAUUGAAGUCUGCUGCAUCUCCCUGUUGCAUCUUUAAUGCAGCUCAGGCUUGAAGCACAGUCAGAGAUAACACUUCACAGGAGCACAGAAGACACGAUUUUAAGUCCUAGAUCUUCUGUAAUAUCAUUCUGGAGGUGAAGGAGUAAUCCAGCUGAACAGUGCUAGUUGCAGUUUAAGAGCUAAGGGCACGUAUGCCUUGCUGAAUGAAGAUAGCUCAGUAUUCCCACUGUGAAAGCAAUUCAGCUCCUGGAAUUCACCCUGGAGCUGGCAGUGAAAGCCAGAUAGAAGAACAAGUUUGUUGUUUGCAUCAGAGAGACUUCUGCCCUCCAGAACACCCGUGCUGGUCAGUUCAUUCAGACUAAGUCCCAGCAGCCUUAGUGCCCCUUCUCAUGGAACCUACUCUUCACCAGUGACUCAAUCUGAAAAAUAGGAAUAUGAAGAAAGAAUGAAAUUAGCAGGAAUAAAAUCCUGUCUCCAUUGGAAAUCACUGGUUGCCUUCUCAGUGACUUUCAUGAAGCUACGGCCAUUUUUUCCUUCUAUUUUCAUGAUUAGCAUAAAAACCCCAACAUUGUAAAGCUGCAAUAAAAGACAUAACUCGAUAUCACAUGAUUUUUCACAAUUUAGGAAGGUGAUCCAUCCCCCUGUCUCUGGCAGCUGUGAAAAGGAGUGCUUGAACCGGCUCCAAGCAGAAGACACCUUUAUAGAGGGUAUUUAGGCAGGGUUCUACAAUCCUAUUUGACUGGCUUUGUCCAUGAUUUGAUUACUUCGUCUUUAGGAAUUAUGUUUUGCAAGUCUUUUUCACUAUUGAAGUCCCCUUCCUUUUCUUGAAAGAGCAGCUGAGAUUCUCCUCCAAAAGCUUAUUCUUUAAAAUCAAUACUUAAAAAUACCAGCAGCUUUUAAGGGGCUGGAAAUAGCUACAGGUGUGCUCACUACUUUGUGUAUUGUCAAUUUUAAUUUGGUGAGGAAAUGAAAGAUACUUAUUAUUGCAAUAAUGUGGCUCUUGAAGGCAUGGGCUUCUUCACUUAAUAAAAAGAACCAAGUCAAGAAAUCAAUACAUGAUUCAUACAAGUAGCAAUCUAUUUAAUAUAAUGAUACUGAAUUGCUAUCACAAAACAUGGUUAUAUGAUGUGAAAUACUAAAGGUGAUAAACAAAAUCUAUAUUUUAUUGUAUACAAGAAAUUCUUUUACUUGUUUAUAAUGUCUGUUGCUUGAAUAAAGUCAGAAAUCAGAGUGCAGCUGUUUUGUUACCAAAUCACACAAACCUGCCAGGGAAACUUCUAAAAAUUGAGUUAAUGUAUUUAAAAUUUUGUUUAGCAUGUGCAUAUUUUUGCUUCCCUACAAAACGAUUUUGUUUAAAUUCAGGCACCUUCCAGUAAGACUGGAAAUUUUGUAGUCACUUAUGAUUACAUACUGAGCCUGAUAUUUCUGUAGCAAUCCAGAGAUGCACGCAUAAACAUUUUUUGACUCCUGCACAGAAAUGUGAUUUUUUGUGGUAAUGAAAAAUGAACAGUAAAAGAUUGUCCUGGCAGCCCUUCCAGUGGAAAUAAUUGGUAUGAUGGCAUGGCCCACCUGGUAUCUGGCCUUAACAGACUGGGGAAGGACACUGAAAGAGAGGACAGAGGCAAAGAGUACAGAGACAAAACCAGACAGAGACAUCCAUUACAACACCAUAACCAUGCAAUAUUAAAAGGAAAGGUAACUAAUACUUUCAAAGUGACAGAAAGGUCUGUGCUCCAGUAAUAUCUCUGCAGAGCUAGCACAAUAUAGCUUUAGCCUCACAUAAGCAUAUAUAUACACCUUUCUAAAUAUGCCACUUCUGAUCUAACUCAAUUUUAAAAAUCUUGCAAGCAUGAAGAUGCUCUAAAACACAUUGGGUUAGGUUAGGGAAGAGAAGUUGACCAGUACUUUUUCCUUAUUUGUUUCACAGGACUCAGCACGGGCAAGACAGAAUGUGUACAAUUGCAAACUACUUAAAUAUUCCCCACAGAUCUAUUUUAAGCACUCAUAUUUCAAUCAAUGGUUCAGAAGGAAGCUGCAAUAUAAACACAUUCCAUUCAACUCGAUUUGCAUAUUGAUGUCAGUAGUUUGAAUCAAACCAAUUAGACCAUGUAGUUAUCUAUGGAAAACAUAUGGCAGACUGAUAAAAACCCAGUUCUAUGUUUAAAAUCUACAGUAUUUCAUUAUCAUAGCAAAAAAGCAGCUGAAGCGGGGUGCUAUUUUUCAUGGACUAGACAAACUGAUACAAGGAGAACUUCUUGGGCUGGAUCCUCAGCUGGUAAAAAAUCACUCUGAAUACAGUAGUGAAUUGAAAUGCAGCUAGUCAGUCUGAAAGCAAACACAUGCUCAUGUAGACAUUGAAUCAAGCACUGAUUUCUCUUUGUUCUCAGUUCCUUGUGUGAGAUGGGGCUAUCCCAUUUUCUUACCCAUUCUUAUUUCAAUUAGAGCAAAAGUUCUUCAGAAAGAGCAUCAUCUCUUACUUUGCUUAAAAAAAAAAAAACCAAAAUGAACCAAAAUUGCAAAAGGCCCAUCUAUGCUGAGCUACUGCCCUAACAUGAAUAAUGGCAGGGGCACCUCACCCUUUUUAUCUCUAAGUUUUCCCUUCCACGAUGACCUAAAAGCUUUUCUUAGCUCAUGUUUAUCUUCGGCAAUAAAUCAUGUUUUCAUUGCAUCUCUGCCUCAUUGGGGUCCAAAUAACAGAACAAGACAAAUUAAACUGUAAAACAGUGGCUGAGGAAAGAAAUAAAGAAGGACAGAUAAAUGAAUUCAUGUGGGAAAGACAACACUGAUUCUAAACACCAUCUUUUACUGUUGGUGCUUCUCAUAUUAAAAAGAAAAAAAAAACUCCUUUGAACAGGCAGUGAUUUAGCUGUAAAAAUAUCUGGUCUGCACAACAUGACUAAUCAUCUCCUCAGCACCAUGAUCAGAUCUGCAUGUUCUCCUGGCAAUAACUAUAUGCUAAGCAUUUAAAACCAUCCUAAUAAUACGUCCAUGGCUCCUAGACUGCUCUUUUACUGAAUGAAGCAUCCACAUGAUUUGUUAGGUGACAUCAUUUACAAACAAUGGCAUUGCUGUCUAGAAUGAAUACCACUUUAGGGGGAAAAAAAAUGAAUACACCAUCAUCUAUUUGAAAUUCAGGCUUAGCACUGUAUAACGUAACAAUAUAUGCUAAUUUCUCCCCCCUCCUACACAUUCUUCUUCAAAUAAGUCACAUUCUUCAUCCACUAAGUCAGUUCACUGCAGAUAAUUUAUUCCACAAGUACUGAAUCAUGAAAUGCCAGGAGACAUGACCAUGGAUCAGGACAACAUAGUUAAUUUUUUUAUUAUUAUUUUCAUACACUCCCCAUACCUGUGUAUGUAUUAAAAAAGGAAUAUCCUGGUAUCAAAAUAAUCCACAUAUAGAUAGCAGUCAGAGUUCAAGGAGAAAACAAAAUGUUGUCUUUUUCUCAUUGGUAUUCAUAUAGCAAAUGCUGAGGCAAGAAAACUCUACUAAAUGUUGUCCUGUCUGUGAACCCUGAAAUAGUUUCAGUCCCUCAUGAAGAUUUUACUAAGUUUAUAUGAAUUACAUUCAAAAGCAAGGUUAGUAAUAAAAAUAAGUUUUGGAAGCAUUGAAACACUUCAGUUAAAUUAAAACCUACCACUUAAAUGCUGAAGUUAAUUAAGAAUCACAGAAAUCUCUGCUGAUACCCCAGAAAAGAAUGUCUCCUUCUGCAUAUUCAAACCAAAUACUUUUCCAGACCAGGCAGUUUCCUUUAGAAAUCAGAAUAAAUUUAGAAAUAGAAUUUCUUCUGUUGGAAAAGGCCCUUUAAGAACAUUGAGUUCAACCAUUAACCAAGCACUGUCAAGUCACUGCUAAACCAUGUGUUGCCACGUCCACAUGUUCUUUAAAUAUUUCCAGAGAUGGUGACUCAACCACUUCCCUGGACAGUAUAUUCAGUAUUUGAGAAGAUGUUUUCCCUGAUAUGCAAUCUAAACCUCCCUUGCCACAACCUGAGGCCUUUUCCUCUCUGCAAUGCAUGCACUUGACUCCUUAACCAAAGCAGAAGUAGUUUGGUAGAGUUGUGAAAAGAUGGAAACACCUGAGCUGUAACUGGGCCAAGAACUUCUCCAGUUCUAGUUUGUUCUCUGAAAACCACAAGGGAAAAUAGUCACCCACAGAACAGCUACAUAAAGAACUGAAGGUACUGUACACAGAAGACUCAAAACCCUGUAUGCAACAAUCCAUGUGGCUCAAGUGGUGUCUGCUUAACAGCUUCCCAAAAAACAAACCUGGAUGCUUAUUCAAGGUUGUUUUAACCUCUUGAAUCUCAAGCAACUAACGCUUGGCAAGAAAAGUGCUAAAUACUCUGCCUCUGAGAAAAAAGGAACAGCAAAUUUUAUCCCAGGUGCUUAUUGUUCCCAUAGAUUGAAUACUCACACAAUUGUUUUGGUUUGGUGUUGGUGUAUAGUGUCUAUUGAUUUUAAAAUUCACUUAACACUGGAUGAACAGAAGGAGCAGAAUAAAUUACCAAACAAGCAAUUUAAGAUGGGUAUAUUGGGGUUCUGGGAGUGACCCAUGUCUCUUUUGUGCUAUUUAAUAUCUUUGAUGGUAGCAGGAUUGUGAAGAGCAAUAACAAAACUGUUGCGUAGACUGGUUUGGAUCAGUGGUUAGGCUGUGACCAUUUUAAUUUCGUUAGAGGGAAUGGUAUACAGUGGAAAAUAAGGGAAAGCAAUCCAUGUAAUGUGGACUGAAUUUGGAAAACAGUAAAUCAAGAAGUGAGACUUGGAAGUUGAAUCUUGAUAAAUUUAAAUUGGAUUAGUAUAAAAGUUCAAAUGUUCUGUGUCUUCAAAUUUGAAACUGUCUUUUAGUAAAAGCUAUAAAUUCUUUCUUGGGUGCUUUAAAAUCAAGAUGGGCUCUAUUUUGUAUUUGUGCUUUAGUCCUAUACAAAGUAAUAAGCCUAGUAAAGGAACAACCAGGUGAUUCAGACAGCCCUAUGUGUUUUCCUACAGUGGGUGAAGUACUGCAUCCCUCCCAUCUCUGACUAACACUCCAACUUCAGAAACAUAUGGCUUAAAAUGUUCAAGAGUCUGUCGGAACUCCAUUUCAUUGAAUUAUCAAAACCAGUGUUCAGUAACAACACAGCUUCCCACUUCAAAAUCUCUCCUAUAUCUGAACACAACAAUUUUGCAUCCUCAGACUAAAAAGAAAAACUAGAAUUUUAUUACUUCCACUGAGGAUGCAAAGAGAAAACAUAAUUAUAUUUAAAUAUAUAAGCAGGCAACAAUUCACAUGGAAUUAUUUUGCACAUGUAUGUAGAACAAUGAGAGGCACCAGUCUGGUAAUUGUUUUCUGGAAUAAAGUAAAUAUAUCAAGAUCAAAUACAAUUAUUAAUCUGUAAUCCUUCUUUCAAAAUUUGUCACCAAGAAAACAAGAAAUCAAAAAGGAAAAAAAUCCAAGAAAUGUAUUAUUUUUUCACUGCAUACUUUAUCAAACACACCUUCCUAAAACCUUGUACUCCUCUAAGCAAUAACACUUGUUUACUCUGAGUGUUAGUAUAUCAAAACUUGCAGUAAAGGUGAAUUUAUUUCAGACUAAUAUUUACAAGGCCAUGUACUGUCAUUGUUCUCUAGAAGAAGAAUUUGAUGUCCAUAGAAGUUAAAUUGAAGGUCACUUAUGGCUCAAAUUGCUGCUGAAGCUAUGUUGCAGGAAUUUGCUUCUACAUUGUUGACCUUUGCUUUCAAAGUCUUAUUUCUUGACCAUGGAAAAAAAAAAAAAGAAAAAUCAUUCAAGGCUGUUACUUUGAAAUAUAAUGUACAAGGUGUUAAGCUACAGAAGUUAUUCUUCAUUAAUGAAAGGGGGAAGGAGGGGAGAAGGAAACAAAAAAAACCCUCAACACCUGAAACCACUAAGCAAGUCUCAAAUGUGAUUGACUUGUAUAAAAAAGGCAGUGGCUUUAAUUUUGGGUUCAGACACAGAUAAUGACUGAUAACAUUCUCUAAAUUUCCACAACAGCUCAUAAUUUGUCUCAGUCAUGGCAAAGUACAUCAUACUGAAGCACCUCCUUACCUCACAUUUCAUGGACUCUUGGAUACAGGGCAAUAUCACUGUUAAGGACACUUUCCUGUGCCACCAGGAAGCCAGGAGCCACUCUGGCAGCCACCCUUGCACCACCCCAGGCUGUCACUGCUGGGACAAAAGUCACAGUGUGGCACAGUCCACACCUGGCUCCCUGCACACCCCACUCACAGCCAGACCAGGUUUCCUGUAGCAAAGUCUCAGAUGUCCAGAUCCAUCAACCAAUUUAAUUCUGGUGCAAUAACCAAAUAAAAAAAUACCAGCUCGAGCUGGUGCCUCUGAGGAGGGACUCAGAACUCCUGGGCUUUUAUCCCCUCGCUGUCCUAGCUCCAGGAAAGUCUGGCGUUCUCAGCUCCUGCCCUGAGUGUCUUCACCCAGCUGAGCCACAGGUGCCCUUUGUUAUCCAAAGGGUGGCAAUUCAUGGCCUCUUGUCUCAGCCCCCUCCCAGAGCUCACCCUGCAGCUGCACCGCGACCCAUCCACCUGCACCGAAUGGAUUCCUCAAGAACCACAAUGUAUUCUGAAAAUGUGACAGAGGUGUUGUCAAGUGUAAUGCUCUCAAAGAAUCCAAGGCAAGCAGUAGUUGAUGCAGGUCAGACAGAGCAUUCAGUCGGGCUGGUGGAGGGAACUGGGAGGAAUUCCUAGUGCUGUUGAAUGCAGAGUUUGAGCACAGCUAAAGUAGAGGCUCUGUUUAGUGGAAAUCCCUUUGGAUAUCUGUGGCAGCUGCUGCCUUGAAGUGCUUCUUGCACUCUUCUUCUCUUGGAAGUUCCCUCCCCACCCUCUCUGUUGGAGCUCAGCUCUGUAGAGCAGCUGCUGAACAGCAGAAUUUAUAGCUAAGGACUUUAAGUAAAAUCAGAAUUUAUUUCAGAUACCCUCCUGUUCUAUGGUGCAAGUCCUGGCAGCUCAGACAUGUUUGGGAAGGGUUUUCAUCGAACUCACAAAAGGCUGCCCUCAACAGGAUUAGCAGAGUCAGCAGCUCCCACAUCUGGUUUCAGAUCCAUGUAGGAGGGUAAAAUUGAAAAGAUGAGUACAGUCCACCUUCAGUGCAUCAUUAAAGUUUUAGUCUCAGUUGUGAUGGGUUAAGUUCAUUGUUAUUCUUCAUUAAAAUAUCUAGGAGUAGUUAAAUAUGGUUUAGAAUUGAAUUUAUAGUU
Corvus hawaiiensis (hawaiian crow) is the source of this 8361-nucleotide long non-coding RNA. RefSeq lists it as uncharacterized. NCBI's taxonomy places the organism in Eukaryota, Metazoa, Chordata, Aves, Passeriformes, Corvidae. The record is from RefSeq and is a predicted model, not a curated record. The transcript has 8 exons.